GUGCCAGCCGCCGCGGUAAUACGGAGGGUGCAAGCGUUGUCCGGAAUUAUUGGGUGUAAAGGGUGCGCAGGCGGAAGCCUAAGUCGAGGGUGAAAGACGACCGCUUAACGGUCGCAGUGCCUUCGAUACUGGGUUUCUUGAGUCCGGAAGAGGUUGGUGGAAUUCGUGGUGUAGCGGUGAAAUGCAUAGAGAUCACGAAGAACACCGGUGGCGAAGGCGGCCAACUGGUCCGGCACUGACGCUGAGGCACGAGAGCGUGGGGAGCGAACAGGAUUAGAUACCCGGGUAGUCC
Molecule: ribosomal RNA, 292 nt
Filed under: uncultured bacterium
Lineage: Bacteria
Description: partial 16S ribosomal RNA
Rfam family: Bacterial small subunit ribosomal RNA
Source: RNAcentral